AAAAUUUUUCAAAAGAAAAAAAAUCUGUUCUUAUCAGUUUAAUAUCUGAUACGUCCCCCAUCCGGGGACUACAUAUUAAAUGGAUUUUUAGAUCACGGAGCUGGAGCCGGGGCUUGCUCCGUCCACUCCAUGCAUCGGCCUGGUAUUGCAGUGUCUCCAGGAACGGUGUGCUUUCC
Molecule: small nuclear RNA, 176 nt
Organism: Carassius auratus (goldfish)
Lineage: Eukaryota; Metazoa; Chordata; Actinopteri; Cypriniformes; Cyprinidae
Gene: U2
Rfam family: U2 spliceosomal RNA
About the family: U2 is a small nuclear RNA (snRNA) component of the spliceosome (involved in pre-mRNA splicing). Complementary binding between U2 snRNA (in an area lying towards the 5' end but 3' to hairpin I) and the branchpoint sequence (BPS) of the intron results the bulging out of an unpaired adenosine, on the BPS, which initiates a nucleophilic attack at the intronic 5' splice site, thus starting the first of two transesterification reactions that mediate splicing.
Source: Ensembl